This 75-nucleotide transfer RNA is filed under the name Ruminococcus sp. YE71. RNAcentral describes it as "tRNA_Pseudo_GTT". RNAcentral also lists the same sequence under 1 other name. Lineage: Bacteria; Bacillati; Bacillota; Clostridia; Eubacteriales; Oscillospiraceae. The record is from RNAcentral.
AACUUCCGACACUGUUAGAGCAUGCGGCUGUUAACCGCAGGGUCGUUGGUUCGAGUCCAACAGGGGGAGUUUCCA